Molecule: ribosomal RNA, 484 nt
Filed under: uncultured bacterium
Lineage: Bacteria
Description: partial 16S ribosomal RNA
Rfam family: Bacterial small subunit ribosomal RNA
Source: RNAcentral
GACGAACGCUGGCGGCGUGCUUAACACAUGCAAGUCGAACGAUGAAGCCGGAGCUUGCUCUGGUGAAUUAGUGGCGAACGGGUGAGUAACACGUGAGUAACCUGCCCUUGACUCUGGGAUAACUGCGGGAAACUGUAGCUAAUACCGGAUACGACCCUCGGAGGCAUCUCCUGGGGGUGGAAAGAAUUUCGGUCAAGGAUGGACUCGCGGCCUAUCAGCUAGUUGGUGAGGUAAAGGCUAACCAAGGCGACGACGGGUAGCCGGCCUGAGAGGGUGACCGGCCACACUGGGACUGAGACACGGCCCAGACUCCUACGGGAGGCAGCAGUGGGGAAUAUUGCACAAUGGGCGCAAGCCUGAUGCAGCAACGCCGCGUGAGGGAUGACGGCCUUCGGGUUGUAAACCUCUUUUAGCAGGGAAGAAGCGAAAGUGACGGUACCUGCAGAAAAAGCACCGGCUAACCACGUGCCAGCCGCCGCUGUAA